Nymphalis io (European peacock) is the source of this 774-nucleotide long non-coding RNA. RefSeq lists it as uncharacterized. The record is from RefSeq and is a predicted model, not a curated record. The transcript is spliced from 3 exons. Lineage: Eukaryota; Metazoa; Arthropoda; Insecta; Lepidoptera; Nymphalidae.
CUACUGUUAUAAUCGAUGUCAUAUUGGAAAAUAGAUGUGUUGUGCCCUGAUGUGCGCUGCUUGGAUAUACUAAGUGAUGCUUUUCCUUUGAAAAAUUCUACAAUAUAUCGAUGCAGCCUUUAAAGCAUUCUAAUCUGAAGCUAACCCAUCUUUCAUUUGUCUGGAAGAAUUGCAAAGGAUUAAAGGUGUGCGAGCCUCACACAUAUCCCUGUGGUACCCGGGUGGAUCAUUUCGGACGCCAUGAACUCGGCUACCGCAAAAGUUCUGGUCGUGAAUAUCGCCAUGGAUCUCUUAAUGACAUACUUCGUCAAGCUUUGGCGCAGCAUCGAUUCGUACUACUUUGGAACCGAAUGGUUUAAGCAGAGACUUACCAUCAGAUAAGAGACCCGAUGGAGCAACAUUAGUGCCAUCGUCAAUGAGACGUGUUCUUGUGUGGGAUGCAAAUGCUUAGAAACGCUGGUAGUAUCUCAUAUCAAGAAUAUGUCUCGUAAAACCAGUACAGGCGCGAAAGCUGCUCAAAUACUCAAGCGCCGUCUAUAAAUAUGAAUAUGAAAUUGCGGGCCUGGAUUUUGAAACAUUAGGUCGUCUGGAUACUACAAAAAUUCCAAAAAAGAUCUAUCUAAGAAACUGGUCCACACUUCUGGUGACCCAAGAGCUGGCGCUUAUUUAGCCCAAAGGCUGAGUCUAGCGGUGCAAAUAGGCAAUAGUGCCAGCGCCUUGGGUACAAUGCCACAGGACAAUCUUUUAGAAGGCGUGUUUUUGAUAAAAAUUUGU